GACGAACGCUGGCGGCGUGCUUAACACAUGCAAGUCGAACGGAAAGGCCCUGCUUGCAGGGUACUCGAGUGGCGAACGGGUGAGUAACACGUGGGUGAUCUGCCCUGCACUUCGGGAUAAGCCUGGGAAACUGGGUCUAAUACCGGAUAGGAGCCAUUCUUAGUGUGAUGGUUGGAAAGUUUUUUCGGUGUAGGAUGAGCUCGCGGCCUAUCAGCUUGUUGGUGGGGUAAUGGCCUACCAAGGCGGCGACGGGUAGCCGGCCUGAGAGGGGGGACGGCCACAUUGGGACUGAGAUACGGCCCAGACUCCUACGGGAGGCAGCAGUGGGGAAUAUUGCACAAUGGGCGCAAGCCUGAUGCAGCGACGCCGCGUGGGGGAUGACGGCCUUCGGGUUGUAAACUCCUUUCGCUAGGGACGAAGCUUUGUGUGACGGUACCUAGAUAAGAAGCACCGGCUAACUACGUG
This 465-nucleotide ribosomal RNA is filed under the name uncultured bacterium. RNAcentral describes it as "partial 16S ribosomal RNA". It matches the Rfam family "Bacterial small subunit ribosomal RNA", at positions 28 to 507 of the family's 1533-position model. The record is from RNAcentral.